GUCAGCAGUCGGCGCUGCUCCAUCGCCUUUCCUUUUAUCCUUUUUUGUAGCGAGGACAACAACAACAAACCAUGAGCGGACCAGGUCUUGGUCGACACCAAGUUCAAGAAUUCGAUUCGCUAAAGAUGGAUUUUUCCAGAUCCGUCCGGGUACAUUUCUUUAAAUUAUUAUAUCAUAUUUUAGCAACUUUGUUCUUCUUUUCAUUUAUACAAGUUGGCUUUGAUUUUCUGAUGUAUAAAAUGUAUAUGCAUGCUCCAUUUUGGUCUAAAAUGGAAUUAUUUGUUAUUUAUGAUCUUAAUCAUGUCCUCAUAAUUUUCUGAUUUUGUGUAUUGUUAAAAUAAUAUGAUUUGACUUGGAAUGUCAAUAUAUCUCUUGUUAUCUGUUUCUCUAUAAAUAGUAGUAUAUUCGUGAUUUUAAUAUUAUUGGAAUUGCUAAUUCUUGAUUUAAGUUGAUAAGCUGGAGUGAUAGCUGAUGCCCUUAAUUGAUUUUUUCCUUAGCUAAAUAUAGUCAUUUUGCUAUAAUGCGGUCCGACUUCAACUCUUAAAAUGGGAUUUUGUGAUUUGUGACUUGCCCUUAAUUACUGUGUUGGGAUUGUUACUUGUUUGUAUAUGAAAAAAUAUGAGAAGCUGUAUAUUUGGAACUUGAUUUGAGCUAUGUGAUAUUCCCCUUUCCUUAAAAUAAUUAUUUAUUACCUUGUGGCUGAUUGUGAAUAAUUCUCUAUUAACUAACUACUUUUUUCUUAAUUAUAGUAGGCCGAUUCCUUGCCUGUCUUCUACAUGGUAAAAUUUAUUAAAAUAUUGGACUGAUUUUACUCUCUUUGAAUAAGGAAAAUACUAAUUUAUUUGUCCCCCUAAUUUAUUCCUUUCCUUUAAGUGUUGUGCCCUCUCAUCCAGUAUAUAAGCAUGCCCCCUUUACCCUUUAGGACACACGCAAAAACCAUCAGAAAUAGCAAAAAACACUCUCAUGCUUGAAUACUCCAACGCUAAAUCACGCUUACACACUUUAAUAGUAAAAGAAUACUCUCUACUCUUGGAAAGAAAAUAAGAACUCUAGAAAAGCUUGGGAUCAUUCUUUGUGGUAUUGUUGUGUUGUUGUUUCGGUGGAUAUCUCUUUAAAACACACCAUUGCUGAUAAUUAUUUCUGCUUGAUUGGUUAGUAAUUACUUCAUUAUUUUAAAUUUCGUCUUGCAUAAUCUAUUAUGAAUAUUGUGUGUUUGAAAUAAAUAAAGGAAGCGUUCAGGUCAGUCUUCUUACCCUUGUUUCUAUGCGUGACUUUAUACUCGCGUGAUUAGUUGGAAUAUGUUUGUGUGUCUGUUCCUGCUCGUAAGUAUGAAAUAAUUAAUGUCAUGUGUGUUGGUUGAUAACUAGUAUUAUUAUCUUGUUGUCUUCUUAUAUUAUAUCUGUUAGGUAUCUCCUUUUUUAUUUUAGCAGGAUUUUGAACUUAAAGGUUCAAGAUGUUGAAGAGUCACCAUGGGAAGAAAACACUAGUCAAGCUGAAUUUAUUUAAUCGUGUUUUGUACAUAAUUUAAUUAUUAUUAUUAUUUUAUAAUAAUUUGUAUAACUCUCAACUCUGCUCUAUAUAUGAUAUAACUUGGGGGAUCGUUUAAAAGGGGGAGGUGACUUACGUGCUAAAUGUUAUUUUAUCGCAACUUACUUGUUGUUAGAGAGCAUGCCUAUAGGAGUGUGAUUUAAUUAUUCGAUCAUUCCUCGCUCUAAAUCUAAUUAAAAUAAAAAAAAUGAUCUUGCUGA
Molecule: long non-coding RNA, 1748 nt
Filed under: Solanum tuberosum (potato)
Lineage: Eukaryota; Viridiplantae; Streptophyta; Magnoliopsida; Solanales; Solanaceae
Description: long non-coding RNA (STUB_LNC004629)
Source: RNAcentral